RNAcentral lists this transfer RNA (91 nucleotides) under Halarchaeum nitratireducens. RNAcentral's name for it is "tRNA-Ala". The record is from RNAcentral. Lineage: Archaea; Methanobacteriati; Methanobacteriota; Halobacteria; Halobacteriales; Halobacteriaceae.
CGAGCGUCGGGGCGGCGGCGCGCACGGCGUCCGCGGUGCCGCGCUGUUCGGUCUGGACGGCGUAGUCGAGUUCCACGCCCGCGUGCUCGUC